UUUCCCAAAACACGGUGCAGUAUAAUGUGGACCUGAGCAAACAGCCCGCUCUGCUAGGGUUGAGGAGAAAUGUAAAAGCUUACAGCACCUGGUAUUCCCAGGCGGUCUCCCAUCCAAGUACUAACCUGGCCCGACCCUGCUUAGCUUCCGAGAUCAGACGAGAUCGGGCGUGCUCAGGGUGGUUUGGCCGUAAGCGAGAGCAGAGAUUGACAGGAGCUCUUUUAAGCUUGGCAAGCCACGCCGCUGCAUCCACUUGCCUGAAUGUGGCGUUUAUAAAGGACUUAGAACAUUUUGGGAGGUACACAGAAGGUGGCCAUUUUGGCCUUAAACACAAUAUCCCCUUUUUUGUAUUUCGCUCUCUCUUUAAACAAAACAAAUAGAGAGAAGCCAAAAUCAUUACUUGUAAUGUGUCACCGACCAUAGGCAUGAACUGUGAACAAAGCAAAAGCAGCACUGUGACUGAAAACAGAAAAUUCUUGCAGGUAAUAGCGUCUGUUGUCUAAGAACGAUGCAAUUAUAGAGUUAACAAAUAAUUGAACAAUAUAGGUAAAAUGUCAAAUACAUAAAACAGAAGUAAUAAAAACAAUAGCUAUUAAUUGCAGAAGAUAGGUCAUAAAUCAUAUAAUAACUGCAUAGAAUAAGAAAAAAAAAAAACACUUUUCCCAUAACACGGUGCAGUAUAAUGUAGACCUGAGCAAACAGCCCGCUCUGCUAAGGUUGAGGGGAAAUGUAAAAUCUUACAGCACCUGGUAUUCCCAGGCGGUCUCCCAUCCAUGUACUAACCAGGCCCGACUCUGCUUAGCUUCCGAGAUCAGACGAGAUCGGGCGUGCUCAGGGUGGUAUGGCCGUAAGCGAGAGCAGAGAGUGACAGGAGCUCUUUUAAGCUUGGCAAGCCACGCCGUUGCAUCCACUUGCCUGAAUGUGGCGUUUAUAAAGGACUUAGAACAUUUUGGGACGUACACAGAAGGUGGCCAUUUUGGCCUUAAACACAAUAUCCGCUUUUUUGUAUUUCGCUCUCUCUUUAAACAAAACAAAUAGAGAGAAGCCAAAAUCAUUACUUGUAAUGUGUCACCGACCAUAGGCAUGAACUGUGAACAAAGCAAAAGCAGCACUGUGACUGAAAACAGAAAAUUCUUGCAGGUAAUAGCGUCUGUUGUCUAAGAACGAUGCAAUUAUAGAGUUAACAAAUAAUUGAACAAUAAAGGUAAAAUGUCAAAUACA
This 1221-nucleotide long non-coding RNA is filed under the name Betta splendens (Siamese fighting fish). RNAcentral's name for it is "lncRNA (ENSBSLG00000005528.1)". Lineage: Eukaryota; Metazoa; Chordata; Actinopteri; Anabantiformes; Osphronemidae. The record is from RNAcentral.